UCGUUUAAGUUUGUUCCUUGUUUUCGCGCUUGUUGUGAUGGCUUUCGCAGAGGACGCAUCUUCGGCUGCUCCAUCAUCAGCGUCGCCAGCUUCACCAGCAACGACGCCAAUGACUCCAGCCACACCAAAAACCACUCCAAAACCAGAUAAAGCGGAAAAUAUAAUAACAGGUCUGGUGAAAGCUGCUUAUGAUAUACCUAAAGGCUUUUUUGACGCGUGCUCAGAUUUCAAGAAGGCAGUGUUUGGUGGAUUCUUCUAAUACAAGUACAAAUUGAAACAAAGAAACACGACGCUCAAUCAAUCAAAUCAACUUCACAAUUGUUAAUUUUCAUAUUUAAGAUGUAAUAAAGACUGUUUACGAA
Pieris brassicae (large cabbage white) is the source of this 362-nucleotide long non-coding RNA. RefSeq lists it as uncharacterized. The transcript is spliced from 3 exons. NCBI's taxonomy places the organism in Eukaryota, Metazoa, Arthropoda, Insecta, Lepidoptera, Pieridae. The record is from RefSeq and is a predicted model, not a curated record.